This 474-nucleotide ribosomal RNA is filed under the name uncultured bacterium. RNAcentral's name for it is "partial 16S ribosomal RNA". It matches the Rfam family "Bacterial small subunit ribosomal RNA", at positions 28 to 507 of the family's 1533-position model. The record is from RNAcentral.
GACGAACGCUGGCGGCGUGCUUAACACAUGCAAGUCGAGCGGUAAGGCUCCUUCGGGAGUACACGAGCGGCGAACGGGUGAGUAACACGUGAGUAAUCUGCCCUUCACUUCGGGAUAACCACCGGAAACGGUGGCUAAUACCGAAUACGACCCGUCUUCGCAUGAGGUGCUGGUGGAAAGUCUUUUCGGUGAAGGAUGUGCUCGCGGCCUAUCAGCUUGUUGGUGGGGUAAUGGCCUACCAAGGCUUCGACGGGUAGCCGGCCUGAGAGGGUGACCGGCCACACUGGGACUGAGACACGGCCCAGACUCCUACGGGAGGCAGCAGUGGGGAAUAUUGGACAAUGGGCGAAAGCCUGAUCCAGCAACGCCGCGUGAGGGAUGACGGCCUUCGGGUUGUAAACCUCUUUCAGUACCGACGAAGCGCCCUGUCGGGUGGUGACGGUAGGUACAGAAGAAGGACCGGCCAACUACGUG